RNAcentral lists this ribosomal RNA (305 nucleotides) under uncultured bacterium. RNAcentral's name for it is "bacterial SSU rRNA". It matches the Rfam family "Bacterial small subunit ribosomal RNA", at positions 339 to 636 of the family's 1533-position model. The record is from RNAcentral.
CUACGGGAGGCAGCAGUAGGGAAUCUUCCACAAUGGGCGAAAGCCUGAUGGAGCAACGCCGCGUGGGUGAAGAAGGUCUUCGGAUCGUAAAACCCUGUUGUUAGAGAAGAAAGUGCGUGAGAGUAACUGUUCACGUUUCGACGGUAUCUAACCAGAAAGCCACGGCUAACUACGUGCCAGCAGCCGCGGUAAUACGUAGGUGGCAAGCGUUAUCCGGAUUUAUUGGGCGUAAAGGGAACGCAGGCGGUCUUUUAAGUCUGAUGUGAAAGCCUUCGGCUUAACCGUAGUAGUGCAUUGGAAACUGG